UGCAUAUACAUGUGUAUACAUAUGUGUGCAUAUAUGUGUAUACAUAUGUGGGUGUCUGUAUACAUGUAUGUUUGUUAUUCAUAAAAUAAAUCAAAAUCAAGAUAUUAACAGAACAUUCCGGAAGCGCUGCGUGGCGAACAGGCAACGGCUGGAGGCAGUUCGCUUCCCGGCCGUUUGUGAACCACCAAUAUGGACGCCAACUUAGGGUCUCAUAGUACAUCUGUCUGAACUGCAAAUGAACUGAACUGCCCGUUUUUGUUAGACAUUACUGUUUGUGUGGUAUAGAAGCCGUGUACAUCGAUUUCGAGCCUUUAUUACUUUAUUACCACUCACUAAGGAAAGCAAUUCAUCUCUCUCGCGACAAUUCUCACUGGCAGUUCGUUUACGAAUCAGCUGAUCGGUGCCCUGCGCGGCGAAACCUUUCACCCCGAGCGGUUUGGGCGAAGCGCACCUUGUAGAAAAGCUCAAGUGAACGAAGGGAAUGAUUCAUCUGGGUAAACAGAUGCCUGAGGUCCAAGUCUCGGAGGUUUCGAACACAGACGCGAAGGCUCGAACCUCACGACGGAGUAUCAGUUCAUCUGCUUCAUGAUGCGUAGAGAGGAAUACAAGACGAAGCCUUUCAUUUUUACCGUCUUCCGAGAGACCAUGGAAGAUGCCAAGCAUGAUGGAAGUUUGUCACGAAUACUGCCAGCACCUAAACAAUGCCUAUGUUUAAGACAUUUUUAGGCCGGGGUGUAUAGGAUUCAUUCAGCGCUCCCAAACAUACGCACUCAAAAGGGAUUGAUGCAAGGUGCAGCUGCCACUGUGUAUAGUGUCACGGCUAGUGCGCCAUCAUCACCUCCCAAUGCCAGUAUCAGAUUGCCACCACUAACACCAUCACCUUCAUAUCAGAUGUCGGUUCUCACUCUUACUGAUAGUGAUAAGCAUUGCAAAUUCUCCAAAUCAGUGCAUAGAUCAUACCUACGUGCUUGGAUCCUGAACUAAAGAAAACUCACCUAGCAGAUGCACAAGAGAAUGUUGGUGUAUUCAGUUUCCUACUUUGGCAGACGACUGAAACUCAUUAUAUAUUUGAAAAACAUUAUUUUUUUUAUAUAACAGAAAGUGAUAGUAAUAGAAAAUGCCUGGAAUUAAUAAUUAAUAAAAAAAAAAAAAAAAAAACAGGACUAGGACUGAUGCUCUUUGUUAGCGUAGAAUAGUAUCUUGUAAAUAUUCAAAUCAUUAGUGAAUCAGAUAUAAGGACCUUUUAAUUAUUUUCAUGACACAUUCUGUGAUAUACAAUUGUUGGCAGCUGCAAAUGAUAUUUUAUUCUGAUUUGCAGAGAUUGUGCAUUUAGGUUCCGAAAAUAACAGUUAUUACAAGUAAAAGGUAAAAGCAAAUCACAAGAAAUUAGAAACUCAUCGGUAAACACACUGAGAAAUAUAACCAGCAGAAGUCAUCACAUUUCUGAGAGAAGGAAAAUAAAGAUGCCAGACAAUGGAAUAACUAUUAGAAAGGAGUAUGUUUUACGAUCCAGAGGGGGAAUAGCAAAAAA
Long non-coding RNA from Penaeus monodon (black tiger shrimp), 1531 nucleotides. RefSeq lists it as uncharacterized. Lineage: Eukaryota; Metazoa; Arthropoda; Malacostraca; Decapoda; Penaeidae. The record is from RefSeq and is a predicted model, not a curated record. The transcript has 4 exons.